GAUGAACGCUAGCUACAGGCUUAACACAUGCAAGUCGGGGGGCAGCAUCAUCAAAGCUUGCUUUGAUGGAUGGCGACCGGCGCACGGGUGAGUAACACGUAUCCAACCUGCCGACAACACUGGGAUAGCCUUUCGAAAGAAAGAUUAAUACCGGAUGGCAUAAUUAUUCCGCAUGGGAUAAUUAUUAAAGAAUUUCGGUUGUCGAUGGGGAUGCGUUCCAUUAGGCAGUUGGCGGGGUAACGGCCCACCAAACCUACGAUGGAUAGGGGUUCUGAGAGGAAGGUCCCCCACAUUGGAACUGAGACACGGUCCAAACUCCUACGGGAGGCAGCAGUGAGGAAUAUUGGUCAAUGGACGAGAGUCUGAACCAGCCAAGUAGCGUGAAGGAUGACUGCCCUAUGGGUUGUAAACUUCUUUUAUACGGGAAUAAAGUGAGCCACGUGUGGCUUUUUGUAUGUACCGUAUGAAUAAGGAUCGGCUAACUCCGUGCCAGCAGCCGCGGUAAUACGGAGGAUCCGAGCGUUAUCCGGAUUUAUUGGGUUUAAAGGGAGCGUAGGCGGGUUGUUAAGUCAGUUGUGAAAGUUUGCGGCUCAACCGUAAAAUUGCAGUUGAUACUGGCGACCUUGAGUGCAACAGAGGUAGGCGGAAUUCGUGGUGUAGCGGUGAAAUGCUUAGAUAUCACGAAGAACUCCGAUUGCGAAGGCAGCUUACUGGAUUGUAACUGACGCUGAUGCU
This 735-nucleotide ribosomal RNA is filed under the name uncultured Bacteroidales bacterium. RNAcentral describes it as "bacterial SSU rRNA". It matches the Rfam family "Bacterial small subunit ribosomal RNA", at positions 28 to 753 of the family's 1533-position model. Lineage: Bacteria; Pseudomonadati; Bacteroidota; Bacteroidia; Bacteroidales. The record is from RNAcentral.